RNAcentral lists this ribosomal RNA (519 nucleotides) under uncultured bacterium. RNAcentral's name for it is "bacterial SSU rRNA". It matches the Rfam family "Bacterial small subunit ribosomal RNA", at positions 29 to 518 of the family's 1533-position model. The record is from RNAcentral.
ACGAACGCUGGCGGCGUGCUUAACACAUGCAAGUCGAACGGGACUGAUGAAAGCUUGCUUUGAAAAGUCUAGUGGCAAACGGGUGAGUAACGCGUAGGCAACCUGCCUCUAAGAUGGGGACAACAGCCCGAAAGGGCUGCUAAUACCGAAUGCUGUAUCUUUACCGCAUGGUGGAGAUAUUAAAGAUGGCCUCUACUUGUAAGCUAUCACUUAGAGAUGGGCCUGCGUCUGAUUAGCUGGUUGGUGGGGUAACGGCUCACCAAGGCGACGAUCAGUAGCCGGUCUGAGAGGAUGAACGGCCACAUUGGGACUGAGACACGGCCCAGACUCCUACGGGAGGCAGCAGUGGGGAAUCUUCCGCAAUGGGCGAAAGCCUGACGGAGCAACGCCGCGUGAAGUGAAGAAGGUCUUCGGAUCGUAAAGCUCUGUCGAAGGGGACGAAUGUGGGUUCUAUCAACAACGGAACCUAAUGACGGUACCUUUCAAGAAAGCCACGGCUAACUACGUGCCAGCCGCUGC